RNAcentral lists this long non-coding RNA (568 nucleotides) under Mytilus galloprovincialis (Mediterranean mussel). The record is from RNAcentral. Lineage: Eukaryota; Metazoa; Mollusca; Bivalvia; Mytilida; Mytilidae.
AGCAACUUUGAGAUGUAGCAAACGCUCCAGUUUCUUUAGUUCACCUGACCUAACCUGAAAGGUCAAGUGAGCUUUUCUCAACACUUGGCGUCCGUCGUCCGUAAACUUUUACUAAAAUCUGGUGUUUUUUUGGGAAAUUGAGCAUGCAGUUAGAAACAAUUUGACAUGUGUAGCAUGUACGUAUGAAAAUACUAAAUGGAAUCGUGGGGAAACAAAAAUGUGGAACCGAAGCCCCUGUUGAACAUUAUGUUAAAGAUUUCUCUGACUCCUGCAAAGUUCAAGAAUUCCAUAUGAAUACAAAAGGACAGAGUGGCAGUGUGUUGUGGUAGGGUUGCAUCAAGUUAAAAUUUCCCUUAGUAUCGUACAGCUUUUUUUUUUAAAACUUCCCUCCGACUCAUUAUCUGAAUAGUUAUAUUUAAAAUAAAAUUUAAGAUUGCUAUUUUUACCUCCUUGGAUCCUGACUUUUCAUAGCAGUUGUCCGUAAACAACCAAUUGAGAUAAUGGGCCUAAACGAUCAAUGUUUUUACAGUAAAAUAAAGCAUAAUGAAAUAUGCGUUUACGUUGUAGU